RNAcentral lists this ribosomal RNA (253 nucleotides) under uncultured bacterium. RNAcentral's name for it is "partial 16S ribosomal RNA". It matches the Rfam family "Bacterial small subunit ribosomal RNA", at positions 524 to 776 of the family's 1533-position model. The record is from RNAcentral.
UACGAAGGGAGCUAGCGUUGUUCGGAAUCACUGGGCGUAAAGCGCACGUAGGCGGAUUUGUAAGUCAGGGGUGAAAGCCCGGGGCUCAACUCCGGAACUGCCUUUAAGACUGCAUCGCUUGAAUCCGGGAGAGGUGAGUGGAAUUCCGAGUGUAGAGGUGAAAUUCGUAGAUAUUCGGAAGAACACCAGUGGCGAAGGCGGCUCACUGGACCGGUAUUGACGCUGAGGUGCGAAAGCGUGGGGAGCAAACAGG